This 398-nucleotide ribosomal RNA is filed under the name uncultured bacterium. RNAcentral's name for it is "partial 16S ribosomal RNA". It matches the Rfam family "Bacterial small subunit ribosomal RNA", at positions 523 to 918 of the family's 1533-position model. The record is from RNAcentral.
AUACGUAGGGUGCGAGCGUUGUCCGGAAUUACUGGGCGUAAAGAGCUCGUAGGUGGUUUGUCGCGUCGUCUGUGAAAUUCCGGGGCUUAACUCCGGGCGUGCAGGCGAUACGGGCAUAACUUGAGUACUGUAGGGGAGACUGGAAUUCCUGGUGUAGCGGUGAAAUGCGCAGAUAUCAGGAGGAACACCGGUGGCGAAGGCGGGUCUCUGGCGAGUAACUGACGCUGAGGAGCGAAAGCAGGGGUAGCGAACAGGAUGAGAUACCCUGGUAGUCCAUGCCGUAAACGGUGGGCGCUAGGUGUAGGGGUCUUCCACGACUUCUGUGCCGUAGCUAACGCAUUAAGCGCCCCGCCUGGGGAGUACGGCCGCAAGGCUAAAACUCAAAUGAAUUGACGGGG